Molecule: non-coding RNA, 27 nt
Filed under: Homo sapiens (human)
Lineage: Eukaryota; Metazoa; Chordata; Mammalia; Primates; Hominidae
Source: RNAcentral
AGGCCAUGAACGAUUCAGAACCUGAGG